This is a long non-coding RNA of Oncorhynchus tshawytscha (Chinook salmon), 403 nucleotides long. The record is from Ensembl. Lineage: Eukaryota; Metazoa; Chordata; Actinopteri; Salmoniformes; Salmonidae.
GAUAAGGGGGUAGUGGUAGGGUGUAGUCAGGGGCUAGGUGAGAGUAGGGGUAGCGGGGUAGUGGUUGGAUAUAGUCAGGGGCUAGGUGAGAGUAGGGCGUAACGGUAGGGUGUAGUCAGGGGCUAGGUAAUAGCAGGGGUAGCGGUAGGGUGUAGUCAUGGGCUAGGUGAGUAGGGGUUGGUGGUAGGGUGUUGUCAGGGGCUAGGUGAGUAGGGGGUAACGGUAGGGCGUGGUCAGGGGCUAGGUGAGUAGGGGGUAGAAGUAGGGUGUGGUCAGGGGCUAGGUGAGAGCAGGGGGUAGUGGUAGGGUGUGGUCAGGGGCUAGGUGAGAGCAGGGGUCAGUGGUAGGGUGUGGUCAAGUGCUAGGUGAGAGCAGGGGGUAGUGGUAGGGUAUAGUCAGGGGC